CCUACGGGAGGCAGCAGUGGGGAAUAUUGGACAAUGGGCGGAAGCCUGAUCCAGCAACGCCGCGUGAGGGAUGACGGCCUUCGGGUUGUAAACCUCUUUCAGCACCGACGAAGCGUGAGUGACGGUAGGUGCAGAAGAAGGACCGGCCAACUACGUGCCAGCAGCCGCGGUAAUACGUAGGGUCCGAGCGUUGUCCGGAAUUAUUGGGCGUAAAGGGCUCGUAGGCGGUCUGUCGCGUCGGGAGUGAAAAUCCAGGGCUUAACUCUGGGCUUGCUUUCGAUACGGGCAGACUGGAGGCAUGCAGGGGAGAACGGAAUUCCUGGUGUAGCGGUGAAAUGCGCAGAUAUCAGGAGGAACACCGGUGGCGAAGGCGGUUCUCUGGGCAUGUCCUGACGCUGAGGAGCGAAAGUGUGGGGAGCGAACAGGAUUAGAUACCCCG
RNAcentral lists this ribosomal RNA (439 nucleotides) under uncultured Nocardioides sp. Its description in RNAcentral is "bacterial SSU rRNA". It matches the Rfam family "Bacterial small subunit ribosomal RNA", at positions 338 to 789 of the family's 1533-position model. The record is from RNAcentral. Lineage: Bacteria; Bacillati; Actinomycetota; Actinomycetes; Propionibacteriales; Nocardioidaceae.